UACGAAGGGGGCUAGCGUUGCUCGGAAUCACUGGGCGUAAAGGGUGCGUAGGCGGGUCUUUAAGUCAGGGGUGAAAUCCUGGAGCUCAACUCCAGAACUGCCUUUGAUACUGGCGACCUUGAGUCCGGGAGAGGUGAGUGGAACUGCGAGUGUAGAGGUGAAAUUCGUAGAUAUUCGCAAGAACACCAGUGGCGAAGGCGGCUCACUGGCCCGGUACUGACGCUGAGGUGCGAAAGCGUGGGGAGCAAACAGG
RNAcentral lists this ribosomal RNA (253 nucleotides) under uncultured bacterium. RNAcentral's name for it is "partial 16S ribosomal RNA". It matches the Rfam family "Bacterial small subunit ribosomal RNA", at positions 524 to 776 of the family's 1533-position model. The record is from RNAcentral.